UAAUACGGAGGUGGCAAGCGUUGCUCGGAUUUACUGGGCGUAAAGGGUGCGUAGGCGGUUAGACAAGUCAUUUGUGAAAUCCUUCCGCUUAACGGAGGAACUGCGGAUGAAACUGUCUGACUUGAGACCAAGAGAGGGAGGUGGAAUUCCCGGUGUAGCGGUGAAAUGCGUGGAUAUCGGGAGGAACACCAGUGGCGAAGGCGACCUCCUGGAUUGGUUCUGACGCUGAAGUACGAAAGCUGGGGAAGCGAACAGGAUUAGAUACCCUGGUAGUCCCAGCCGUAAACUAUGGGCACUAGGUGCUUCUGACUUUAUGUUGGAGGUGCCGCAGUUAACGCGUUAAGUGCCCCGCCUGGGGACUACGACCGCAAGGUUG
RNAcentral lists this ribosomal RNA (376 nucleotides) under uncultured bacterium. RNAcentral's name for it is "bacterial SSU rRNA". It matches the Rfam family "Bacterial small subunit ribosomal RNA", at positions 521 to 896 of the family's 1533-position model. The record is from RNAcentral.